GGCGCGAUAGCAAAGUGGCUAUGCACCGGAUUGCAAAUCCGUUUACGGCGGUUCGAUUCCGCCUCGCGCCUCCA
RNAcentral lists this transfer RNA (74 nucleotides) under Sutterella wadsworthensis. RNAcentral describes it as "tRNA-Cys". It matches the Rfam family "tRNA". From Rfam's summary of the family: Transfer RNA (tRNA) molecules are approximately 80 nucleotides in length. Their secondary structure includes four short double-helical elements and three loops (D, anti-codon, and T loops). The record is from RNAcentral. RNAcentral also lists the same sequence under 2 other names. Lineage: Bacteria; Pseudomonadati; Pseudomonadota; Betaproteobacteria; Burkholderiales; Sutterellaceae.